Molecule: long non-coding RNA, 1404 nt
Organism: Suricata suricatta (meerkat)
Lineage: Eukaryota; Metazoa; Chordata; Mammalia; Carnivora; Herpestidae
Exons: 2
Source: RefSeq, a predicted model, not a curated record
GCAGCUGCGCCGCUGCUGCUGUCCGCCUGAGCCGCGUGAGAAGCCUCGAGCGGGAACCCGCAGCAAUGCCACAGCGAAACUCCUGGCCCACAGAAAAGGCAAGAAGUAAAAGAAAAUAAAAAGGAGUGUAGAAAAUGUGCUAAGUGAAAAUACCUGUGUGAGGAGGGGCUUGGGGGGCCUCUGCAGCCAAGACACACCCACUCGCCUGCUCCAGGAACAGCACCCUCGUGGAAGGGAAGCUUAUUGAGAGGUCCUCUUGCAAACUCACACCUACAAACAUCUAGAAAGCAGUACAGACCCCCAGAAGGCCAUCUACUCACUCCAAAAGGCUUACCUGGGUCCAGGUGUGUGAAAGAGCCCACCACGAAGUCUAGCGUGGACACAGCCAGCAGGAGCAGCAGCAGCAGCUGGAGACGAAUUAUCCAUUUGACGCCUGCCAGGUUAAUCCCCAGCAAGGCCAGAAGCACUGCAGCUGAAAUUCCUCGCACAGCCCAGAUGCUCCUGAGGCUCAGCAAGUCAGAGAUGGACUCAGCAAAGCCAGUGAUGUACAUGGCACCUGCAACACACUGACAGGCAACGAGGUGGGAAGAGUUGGCAAGAGAACAGAGACUCAGGAACCCACGGGUCAGGCCUGCCCUGCACUGAGGGCUGCACUCACCCCCAUCAGGGCUCAGCACCUGGGAACCCACACGAGGGCUGGGGAGCCCCUCCUGGCCAUGACUCCGCCUUGGGCCCCGUCUCUUCUCAUCUACGCUCCUGCCAUCAUCCAGAGAGGAGCACAAAUGCCAGUCAGUAGUAACUAAGGUGAGAAGAUCAACCGGAGGAAGGAGUGGGGACUCUGGGCCAAAGAGCACUCUCAACUUCCCUGAGCUAUUCAGGAGCACUGGGGGUCCCUCUCAGAGUCUUAGAAAGGCACUGAAGCACAUCCCAGUUUUUUCUCCACUUCUUUGUAGGUCAAUAUUAUAUAUAUUUAAAAAACUUAACCUGAAACUUAGAAUAAGAAGAAAAGUGGGCAGCACAUCCUUUCAAUGUCAUAUGGAACAAAGGCUACCCAAGGACUGGCUAGAGGUGAAUGUGCUUAGUUCUACUCAUUGUUUACUAUUGAUUCAAUGUGUUAAAUGUCCCAGACUUUGUGAAGCUACUGUCAAUUUAUAGAUUUUUUUUUUCCAGCAGAGAUACAAAUAACUUCUGUCCAGUGGAACAGACAACCCAAAAGAUUCGGUUUGUUGUCCUGUAAGACAUUAACCAAUCUUGUAUCAGCAAUCUUAUCCUUAUAUUUAUUUAUGAAAUUGCUUCACCAGGAACUAUGUAAUCAACAUGCAGCUUCUCAACUGCUCUUAACAUCUUACUGGCUCCUCCAUUAAUUAACGAGUUAAAUAAAAUCUUUGGUCCAUGUAUAUUUUA